AAUCGCGGUCUUUUCUCAUUCAACUAAAAGUUGAAUUGAGAAAACAACACGUAUCACUCUCGUGAUUAUUUCUCCCCUGUUUUCAGGGGCGUAACACGAGCAAGGAGGCCUGCAAACCUGACUCGUUUAUAUCAGCUCUGUCAGGAGGAAUGGGCCAAAAUUCACCCAACUUAUUGUGGGAAGCUUGUGGAAUGCUACCUGAAACGUUUGACCCAAGUUAAACAAUUUAAAGGCAAUGCUACCAAAUACUAAUUGAGUGUAUGUAAACUUCUGACCCACUGGGAAUGUGAUGAAAAAAAAAGAUAAUAAAUCAUUCUCUCUA
Molecule: long non-coding RNA, 322 nt
Organism: Oncorhynchus masou masou (cherry salmon)
Lineage: Eukaryota; Metazoa; Chordata; Actinopteri; Salmoniformes; Salmonidae
Exons: 2
Source: RefSeq, a predicted model, not a curated record